GCUUAUAUAUGCCGGAGAAGUCUCUGCUUCUCUCCUCCGAUCUCUCGGCCGAUCUACGACGGAGCACAGUUAAUGGCGGAGAAAUUGGCAUCGGAUAAGCGCCACAGCUUCGUCAAUGGCGGUCAGAAGGUUUUCGAAUGGGAUCAAACCCUGGAGGAGGUCGACAUGUACAUUGACCUCCCUCCCAACGUUCCCAAAAACUUUUUACUGCAAGAUCCAGUCCGAACACCUCGAAGUGGGGAUCAAGGACAAUCCUUCUUAUCUCAAUAGGAUGAAGUCAUGCACAUAACAUUACAGAAGAGGGACAAAGGAAAAACUUGGUCAUCUCCCGUACUUGGUCAAGGUUUACUGGAUUCAUAUGCUGCCGAUCUUGAACAGAAGCGCCUUAUGCUUCAAAGGUUUCAAGAAGAGAUAGCCAAAUAGGUCCUCAAUACAUACAAACUUGAAUCCAGAAUUCCUUGCGCAAGUAUUUACUCCAUCCAUGACUCAUCACUACUUUGAGUUAACCCUGGUUUUGACUUUUCUCAAGCUCAGUUCAGCGGGGCCUGCCCUGAUCCGAGGACCUUCAUGGGUGGCAUAAGCUAAGCUUACAAUUGAGGUGACUCCUCUUGGUUGUUCUUUCUUUCUUGAUGACUAAUCUGUUUUUAGACAAUCAUGUGUAUACUAUCCACUCUUGGAGUUACGAAUUAUGAUUAAUCUUUUUCCGUGGUCGCAAAGAUUGCAACAAUGACACUAAACA
Zingiber officinale is the source of this 739-nucleotide long non-coding RNA. RefSeq lists it as uncharacterized. The record is from RefSeq and is a predicted model, not a curated record. NCBI's taxonomy places the organism in Eukaryota, Viridiplantae, Streptophyta, Magnoliopsida, Zingiberales, Zingiberaceae. The transcript has 5 exons.